Molecule: long non-coding RNA, 2447 nt
Organism: Gallus gallus (chicken)
Lineage: Eukaryota; Metazoa; Chordata; Aves; Galliformes; Phasianidae
Source: Ensembl
GGAUUGGUGAUACAAAACAGGAUCACCCCGUUCUUCAUUGUUUUCCUUUGACUGCUGCUGAAGCAAAUUCUACCUGGCAGCAGCUUGGGCUCUACAAUACUCAUCCCCUGGGCUGAGAUCUGCAACAAGCGUAAAAAGGAUAAGGAGGAAAGGCAAUGAAAUCCACAUGGCUAAUCACCUCCUAACUUAAGAAGAGCAUACAGAAAGCAGCAAAUAGGAAAUAGUCCUUUUGUGGAAAACACAGCUAACCCCACUGACAAAACGGGAAGAGAGCCUGCCUCAGAAUAACCUGUUGACAUAUGGAGAAUGAUGGAAACAAAUGCUGCCUGGAUGUUGGAUGAUACAGGCAGCAUGUGACACAAAAACUCUGUGAUGAAUGGAAUUAACUCUCAUUUUGAGAAGUGAAGUAUCUGCUUCAGCCCUGAUCCUUUCUGACAUCUUGAAAUGUCGAACUGAUAUCCAGUGGACUCUUGAACUCUGCUAUCUGCCAAGAAGAAAUUUGGGCCUUCGAGUUUUCUUUCAUUCUAGAAUGAAAUCUCUAGAUGUUAUCUAGCUAGAAGUAUAUUAUCCAUCCCCUUGGAAAUCGGGAUAACAGAUUUCGGGAAGGUGUCUGGUGCCAAUUUUGUUAUUAAAAUGUUGAUUAUAACCAUCUGAAUCAUCCACACCAGUUAUAAAUCCUAAAUAUUAGAUAUUCUUUUUCUUUGAGAUUUUAUUUCCACCUGCUUGCAGUGCACCAAUUUUCCUGAGCCCUUCUGUAAAAUGAAGAAAUUAUUCCACUCAUGCUUCAACGCUGACUUCAAAAUACCCAGGAACUGUCACGCUGCCCAAUUGUUUUGGUAAAGUGUGAAUUGCACUUUUGCAAUGUGUGAUAGUUGAAAAAUUUCCCAAUUGGAUGAGAUUUUCCCCAUCUUAUGUAGCCUUUGGUCCAAUAAAAUAUAUUGUUCCUCCUGGUGGUCUGCAGUGAGAUUUUCAGGGAACUCAGCCUCAUAGAAGGAGUAGGCUUCCACAAAGCUGCAAUUAGACCUUGCUCAGCAUUUUUUGAAAUGAUUGUUUCAGUAUAUUCCAAAGCCAGGUUUUACUCAGUAGGAAUGGAUAUUCAUGCCUCAUAAAAAGCUGAACAAAUACAGUUGUUUUUUGUUUGUUUGUUUUGGUUUGGAUAUUUUUUAUUUUUAUUUAUUUAUUUUUUUUUUUGCACAGAGGAUCAUUCAAAUGAUUGUAGUUCAUUUUGUGGAAUAGGUGUUAUGCUCAUUAACUUGUUUCUUAACAUCUGCACUGCAGCUUUGGCAGAUCACAGGAGACAGUUUGUUGGAGCGUGCUUUCAGAGGCACAUGAUGCCAAACCUUAUGUACUUAUUUCCACCUGAAAAAUCAGUUUCCAAAGUCCUUGAAAAAUCACUAGCCCCAUACAUCUGCAUAGAGGCCUUUAUGAAAUGAGAGGAAUAUUUUAGGGAAGGAGUUUGCAGUGGAGAGCUGUCACAGUGUAGGUCCAUGGUACAAUACUCUGUGUUCAGAAAUGGAGGCGCCAAAUAAUCAAACUUUAUGUAUGUAAUUCUAAGUCAGUUAAUGAAGUGUCCUAUACUACCAAAUUGUGUCUUACAACAACCAAAUAUUACUCAAAAAAAAAAAAAAAAAAAGAUUUUUUUCUUAUUUCCUGAACAGGUAACACUGCUUCUCUUUGUCCCAGAUGGAGCAUACAACAUGUUGUUGAAGUGCUUUGAAAAAUACUUUUUUUUAAUUCAAUAAUCACAGAAUCACAGAAUUGUAGGGGUAGGAAGGGACCUCCAGAGAUCAUCGAGCCCAAACCCCCUGCAAAGCAGGCCCCCUACAGCAGGUUGCACAGGUAGGCAUCCAGGUGGGUCUUGAAUAUCUCCAGAGAAGGAAAAUACACAACCUCCCUGGGCAGCCUGUUCCUGUGCUCCGUCACCCUCACUGUGAAGAAGUUCCUUCGCAUAUUGGUGCUGAACUUCCUAAACUCCAGUUUAUGGCCAUCUCCCCUUCUCUUGUGCCCACAGACCACUGAAAAAAGGUUGGCCAUGUCCCUUUGAGUCCCACACUUAGGAUAUUUAUAAACAUUAAUAAGAUCCCCUCUGAGUCUUCUUUCCUCAAGGCUGAACAGACCCAGGUCACCCAGUCUUUUCUCAUACGGGAGAUGCUCCAGGCCCUUUAUCAUCUUUGUGGUAAAUAAUGUCUCUUAAAACUUUAGACUUCUGUAAAAAUGCAACAAGAAUAGAAGUUACAUCUGACUAAGGAAAUCUUAGCUUGCAAACAAACUUUGCUUGCAAAAUUUUAUUAGGAUGAUACACAAAGUUCUUGUAUUCGGGUAGGCCCAGGGCUGCUCCAGAAUUCAUUGGUGUGGGGAGUUCUAAAAGAUCGGCUUGUUAGUUAUAUCUUUUACAUGAUUUUUGAUGAAAAUGCACUUCAAGAAAUAUUUAAUUCUCUUUUACUCUC